Molecule: ribosomal RNA, 318 nt
Filed under: uncultured bacterium
Lineage: Bacteria
Description: bacterial SSU rRNA
Rfam family: Bacterial small subunit ribosomal RNA
Source: RNAcentral
AGCGAACGUUAGCGGCGCGCCUAACACAUGCAAGUCGCACGAGAAAGGAGCAAUCCCCGGUACAGUGGCGCACGGGUGAGUAACACGUAGAUGACCUUCCCUGGAGUGGUGGAUAACCUGCCGAAAGGCGGGCUAAUACAGCAUGGGACCACAUGGUUUUGACCGAGUGGUGAAAGCGGGCCUCUGUUCACAAGCUCGCGCUCUGGGAUGGGUCUGCGUCCCAUCAGCUAGUUGGUGAGGUAAUGGCUCACCAAGGCAUCGACGGGUAGCUGGUCUGAGAGGAUGACCAGCCANACUGGAACUGAGACACGGUCCAGA